RNAcentral lists this ribosomal RNA (307 nucleotides) under uncultured eukaryote. Its description in RNAcentral is "partial 18S ribosomal RNA". It matches the Rfam family "Eukaryotic small subunit ribosomal RNA", at positions 1470 to 1796 of the family's 1831-position model. The record is from RNAcentral.
CCCUUAGACGUUCUGGGCCGCACGCGCGCUACACUGACGAAGGCAACGAGCUACUCUUCACCGAAAGGUGUGGGUAAUCUUUUGAAACUUCGUCGUGCUGGGGAUAGAUCCUUGCAAUUUUUGAUCUUAAACGAGGAAUUCCUAGUAAGCGCAAGUCAUCAACUUGUGUUGAUUACGUCCCUGCCCUUUGUACACACCGCCCGUCGCUACUACCGAUUGAAUGGUUUAGUGAGGCCUUCGGAUCCGCGAUUUUAUUGUGGAGAAGUUGGACAAACUCAGUCAUUUAGAGGAAGUAAAAGUCGUAACA